GUACGGCGUGCCAGUUAGGUAACCUCCCAGUGUGCCUGAGUGCUGCUGGUCCCUUUUGGAUACGUCCGAGGGGAGGAGCAGUAUUUGGGCCGGUGCGCCCCGGUAACAUGGCUAACAAUUUUCUGUUUGGGGAUAUUGUUAGCUAUGGCUAAUGACCUGGCAGGGGGGGAGGUCUCUCCACGUGUCCUUCUGACUAGCAGAGGGCACAGUGGACGAGACGUGAGGGUGGAUUUGAGGGAGACAUCCUCGUGGAGGGAGAGGCGAGUUCAGUGUGCA
Long non-coding RNA from Maniola jurtina (meadow brown), 276 nucleotides. RefSeq lists it as uncharacterized. The record is from RefSeq and is a predicted model, not a curated record. The transcript has 3 exons. NCBI's taxonomy places the organism in Eukaryota, Metazoa, Arthropoda, Insecta, Lepidoptera, Nymphalidae.